UGAAUACGAGAUGCUACGGCGUCGAAGCAGUCUAUGUCAUACUUCCAAGAAAAGCUUGCACUGUCAUAAACAAAUAAUCCCUGUACCAUAACCGACACAGGUGGGUAGGUAGAGUAUACUAAGGGGCGCGAGAUAACUCUCUCUAAGGAACUCGGCAAAAUGACUCCGUAACUUCGGGAGAAGGAGUGCCUUAUUUAUAAGGUUGCAAUAACAAGAUCCAAGCAACUGUUUACCAAAAACACAGGUCUCCGCUAAGUCGUAAGACGAUGUAUGGGGGCUGACGCCUGCCCAGUGCCAGAAGGUUAAAGAAGUUGGUUAGCAUCCGCGAAGCUGAUAACUGAAGCCCUGGUGAACGGCGGCCGUAACUAUAACGGUCCUAAGGUAGCGAAAUUCCUUGUCGGGUAAGUUCCGACCCGCACGAAAGGCGUAAUGAUUUGGAUACUGUCUCGGAGAGGGGCUCGGUGAAAUAGACUUGUCUGUGAAGAUGCGGACUACCUGCACCAGGACAGAAAGACCCUAUGAAGCUUUACUGUAACCUGAAAUUGAAAUUGGACUUUACUUGCGCAGUAUAGGUGGGAGGCGUUGAGAAUAUUCUUGCGGGAUUAUUGGAGCCAUCAGUGAGAUACCACUCUUGUAAUGUUAGAUUUCUAACUUUGUAUCAUUAUCUGGUCAAAGAACAGUUUCAGGCGGGCAGUUUGACUGGGGCGGUCGCCUCCUAAACGGUAACGGAGGCGCACAAAGGUUUCCUCUGAACGGGUAGAAAUCGUAUCUAGAGUGUAAAGGCAUAAGGAAGCUUGACUGUGAGACCUACAAGUCGAGCAGGGACGAAAGUCGGUCUUAGUGAUCUGACGGUGCUGAGUGGAAAGGCCGUCACUCAACGGAUAAAAGUUACUCUAGGAUAACAGGCUGAUCUCCCCCAAGAGUUCACAUCGACGGGGAGGUUUGGCUCCUCGAUGUCGGCUCAUCGCAUCCUGGGGCGGUAGUACGUCCCAAGGGUUGGGCUGUUCGCCCAUGAAAGCGGUACGCGAGCUGGGUUCAGAACGUCGUGAGACAGUUCGGUCCAUAUCCGGUGUAGGCGUUAGAAUAUUGAGAGGAGCCUUCUUUAGUACGAGAGGACCGAGAAGGACAUACCUCUGGUGUACCAGUUAUCGUGCCAACGGUAAACGCUGGGUAGCUAUGUGUGGAGUGGAUAACCGCUGAAAGCAUCUAAGUGGGAAGCCCACCUCAAGAUAAGUAUUCUCAUC
Molecule: ribosomal RNA, 1244 nt
Filed under: metagenome
Description: bacterial LSU rRNA
Rfam family: Bacterial large subunit ribosomal RNA
Source: RNAcentral